Molecule: non-coding RNA, 72 nt
Organism: Pangasianodon gigas (Mekong giant catfish)
Lineage: Eukaryota; Metazoa; Chordata; Actinopteri; Siluriformes; Pangasiidae
Source: the annotation of a GenBank genome assembly
UCUCUGGAGGACUAGUGGUUAGGCCUCGGCGCUCUAGCCACCGGAGCCCGGGUUCAAUUCCCAACCAGGGAA